This 425-nucleotide ribosomal RNA is filed under the name uncultured bacterium. RNAcentral's name for it is "partial 16S ribosomal RNA". It matches the Rfam family "Bacterial small subunit ribosomal RNA", at positions 354 to 796 of the family's 1533-position model. The record is from RNAcentral.
GUGGGGAAUCUUGCGCAAUGGGCGAAAGCCUGACGCAGCCAUGCCGCGUGAAUGAUGAAGGUCUUAGGAUUGUAAAAUUCUUUCACCGGGGACGAUAAUGACGGUACCCGGAGAAGAAGCCCCGGCUAACUUCGUGCCAGCAGCCGCGGUAAUACGAAGGGGGCUAGCGUUGCUCGGAUUUACUGGGCGUAAAGGGCGCGUAGGCGGACAUUUAAGUCAGGGGUGAAAUCCCGGGGCUCAACCUCGGAACUGCCUUUGAUACUGGGUGUCUUGAGUAUGAGAGAGGUGUGUGGAACUCCGAGUGUAGAGGUGAAAUUCGUAGAUAUUCGGAAGAACACCAGUGGCGAAGGCGACACACUGGCUCAUUACUGACGCUGAGGCGCGAAAGCGUGGGGAGCAAACAGGAUUAGAAACCCGUGUAGUCC